UUUUCAUGCAAAACUUAAGCAAUUAACUGUACACUAACCAUUUCAGCUAGAAGAAUAGUAAAAGAAGGUAACCUAAGAAAAGGGACCAAGUAGGUGAUAAGAGGAUGGAAAUAUGACAAGUCAAAAAAAACUAUAAAUUUCAGGUACACAUAAAUCCAGACCCACUUGGCAAGAAAAGAAUCGCAACUACAUAAGACACACAGAAUAUCAAGACCAAACAACAAAAACAUCUAGAAAACACACAAAUAAUAAAUGUCAACAAAACAUGGAAAUAACAAACAAACUCUCUUCUUUCCCUUUUGACAGCCGAUCAUUACCCAGCUAGUAGAUAUCAUCUCUCUCUCCCUAAUCUGAUUCUGCUCACCAUGACAAAGCAAAACUUUUACCAGAGUAUAUAGUACCUUCCACAAAUUCUCUGCGCCCCUGAAUGGGCAACAGAAAGGCCAAAUGACAUCUUACAACAAACAGCAAAGAUUCCCUCGUUACCAUACCUACCCCUCUCAUACCUCACUAUCUUUCUAAAACCCACCAUAUCCGCAUAACCCAGACACAGAUCUCAAUUGACGCAUCAUAUCAAGGUCCCACACUACACCCCAUAAAACCCUACUUAAAAUUCACCCAUUUUUUUCACAUGGAAACAAUCAAACAACACAAAACCACCAACAUAAACAGCACCAAAGACGCCAUCUUUAAUCACAUAAAAGCUAAAAACACCACCUUUCUAAAGGUAUUCACAAUAAUCACCAAAGUUUCAAUCUUUGUUACCUAAAUUCUCCAGUUCAUACUUGGUCUUGCUCACUGGCUUUAUUUUCCUUUGUUUCUCAGCAGAGAAAUCAAUUACCGGAGGCGGCGCCGGAGCUGCCGUGGAUAUCGGCUUUGGAGACAGUGCUUUCGUGACAGUACCAUCUGGACCAUACUUUCUUGGCCUCUCUCGCUUCUUCUUUAUAGCCAU
Molecule: long non-coding RNA, 952 nt
Filed under: Ricinus communis (castor bean)
Lineage: Eukaryota; Viridiplantae; Streptophyta; Magnoliopsida; Malpighiales; Euphorbiaceae
Description: long non-coding RNA (RCOM_LNC000029)
Source: RNAcentral